This 871-nucleotide ribosomal RNA is filed under the name uncultured organism. RNAcentral describes it as "bacterial SSU rRNA". It matches the Rfam family "Bacterial small subunit ribosomal RNA", at positions 1 to 867 of the family's 1533-position model. The record is from RNAcentral.
GGCUUAGAGUUUGAUCAUGGCUCAGGAUGAACGCUAGCUACAGGCUUAACACAUGCAAGUCGAGGGGCAGCAUGAACUUAGCUUGCUAAGUUUGAUGGCGACCGGCGCACGGGUGAGUAACACGUAUCCAACCUGCCGAUGACUCGGGGAUAGCCUUUCGAAAGAAAGAUUAAUACCCGAUGGCAUAGUUCUUCCGCAUGGUGGAACUAUUAAAGAAUUUCGGUCAUCGAUGGGGAUGCGUUCCAUUAGGUUGUUGGCGGGGUAACGGCCCACCAAGCCUUCGAUGGAUAGGGGUUCUGAGAGGAAGGUCCCCCACAUUGGAACUGAGACACGGUCCAAACUCCUACGGGAGGCAGCAGUGAGGAAUAUUGGUCAAUGGACGAGAGUCUGAACCAGCCAAGUAGCGUGAAGGAUGACCGCCCUAUGGGUUGUAAACUUCUUUUAUACGGGAAUAAAGUGAGGCACGUGUGCCUUUUUGUAUGUACCGUAUGAAUAAGGAUCGGCUAACUCCGUGCCAGCAGCCGCGGUAAUACGGAGGAUCCGAGCGUUAUCCGGAUUUAUUGGGUUUAAAGGGAGCGUAGGCGGACGCUUAAGUCAGUUGUGAAAGUUUGCGGCUCAACCGUAAAAUUGCAGUUGAUACUGGGUGUCUUGAGUACAGUAGAGGCAGGCGGAAUUCGUGGUGUAGCGGUGAAAUGCUUAGAUAUCACGAAGAACUCCGAUUGCGAAGGCAGCUUGCUGGACUGUAACUGACGCUGAUGCUCGAAAGUGUGGGUAUCAAACAGGAUUAGAUACCCUGGUAGUCCACACAGUAAACGAUGAAUACUCGCUGUUUGCGAUAUACAGUAAGCGGCCAAGCGAAAGCGUUAAGUAU